This is a transfer RNA of 75 nucleotides. It matches the Rfam family "tRNA". Rfam says of the family: Transfer RNA (tRNA) molecules are approximately 80 nucleotides in length.
GGGGAUGUGGUCUAGCUUGGUCUAUGACUCAGCCUUGGGGUGGCUGCAACUCGGGUUCAAAUCCCGACAUCCCCA